GAUUAGAAGCUUGCUUCUAUGACGUUAGCGGCGGACGGGUGAGUAACACGUGGGCAACCUGCCUGUAAGACUGGGAUAACUUCGGGAAACCGAAGCUAAUACCGGAUAGGAUCUUCUCCUUCAUGGGAGAUGAUUGAAAGAUGGUUUCGGCUAUCACUUACAGAUGGGCCCGCGGUGCAUUAGCUAGUUGGUGAGGUAACGGCUCACCAAGGCAACGAUGCAUAGCCGACCUGAGAGGGUGAUCGGCCACACUGGGACUGAGACACGGCCCAGACUCCUACGGGAGGCAGCAGUAGGGAAUCUUCCGCAAUGGACGAAAGUCUGACGGAGCAACGCCGCGUGAGUGAUGAAGGCUUUCGGGUCGUAAAACUCUGUUGUUAGGGAAGAACAAGUACAAGAGUAACUGCUUGUACCUUGACGGUACCUAACCAGAAAGCCACGGCUAACUACGUGCCAGCAGCCGCGGUAAUACGUAGGUGGCAAGCGUUAUCCGGAAUUAUUGGGCGUAAAGCGCGCGCAGGCGGUUUCUUAAGUCUGAUGUGAAAGCCCACGGCUCAACCGUGGAGGGUCAUUGGAAACUGGGGAACUUGAGUGCAGAAGAGAAAAGCGGAAUUCCACGUGUAGCGGUGAAAUGCGUAGAGAUGUGGAGGAACACCAGUGGCGAAGGCGGCUUUUUGGUC
Molecule: ribosomal RNA, 680 nt
Filed under: uncultured bacterium
Lineage: Bacteria
Description: bacterial SSU rRNA
Rfam family: Bacterial small subunit ribosomal RNA
Source: RNAcentral